Molecule: ribosomal RNA, 788 nt
Filed under: uncultured Campylobacterota bacterium
Lineage: Bacteria; Pseudomonadati; Campylobacterota
Description: bacterial SSU rRNA
Rfam family: Bacterial small subunit ribosomal RNA
Source: RNAcentral
GAUGAAGCUCUAGCUUGCUAGAGUGGAUUAGUGGCGCACGGGUGAGUAAUGUAUAGCUAAUGUGCCCCUUUAGAGGGGGAUAACAGUUGGAAACGACUGCUAAUACCCCAUACUCCUUCUUCCUAUAAGGGAAGUUGGGAAAGUUUUUUCGCUAAGGGAUCGGGCUAUAUGGUAUCAGCUUGUUGGUGAGGUAAUGGCUCACCAAGGCUAUGACGCCUAUCUGGUCUGAGAGGAUGAUCAGACACACUGGAACUGAGACACGGUCCAGACUCCUACGGGAGGCAGCAGUGGGGAAUAUUACACAAUGGAGGAAACUCUGAUGUAGCAACGCCGCGUGGAGGAUGACACAUUUCGGUGCGUAAACUCCUUUUAUAUGGGAAGAUAAUGACGGUACCAUAUGAAUAAGCACCGGCUAACUCCGUGCCAGCAGCCGCGGUAAUACGGAGGGUGCAAGCGUUACUCGGAAUCACUGGGCGUAAAGCGCGCGCAGGCGGCUCCUUAAGUUGGAUGUGAAAUCCUAUGGCUCAACCAUAGAACUGCAUCCGAAACUGAGGAGCUAGAGUCUGGGAGGGGAAGAUGGAAUUAGUGGUGUAGGGGUAAAAUCCGUAGAGAUCACUAGGAAUACCAAAAGCGAAGGCGAUCUUCUGGAACAGUACUGACGCUGAGGCGCGAAAGCGUGGGGAGCAAACAGGACUAGAUACCCUGGUAGUCCACGCCCUAAACUAUGAAUGUUAGUCGUCGGGGGGCUCGUCCUUUCGGUGAUGCAGCUAACGCAUUAAACAUCCGCC